UACGUAGGGUGCGAGCGUUGUCCGGAAUUAUUGGGCGUAAAGAGCUCGUAGGCGGUCUGUCGCGUCUGCUGUGAAAACCCGAGGCUCAACCUCGGGCCUGCAGUGGGUACGGGCAGACUAGAGUGCGGUAGGGGAGAAUGGAACUCCUGGUGUAGCGGUGGAAUGCGCAGAUAUCAGGAAGAACACCGAUGGCGAAGGCAGUUCUCUGGGCAGUAACUGACGCUGAGGAGCGAAAGCGUGGGGAGCGAACAGG
RNAcentral lists this ribosomal RNA (253 nucleotides) under uncultured bacterium. RNAcentral's name for it is "partial 16S ribosomal RNA". It matches the Rfam family "Bacterial small subunit ribosomal RNA", at positions 524 to 776 of the family's 1533-position model. The record is from RNAcentral.